AACGCGAAGAACCUUACCUACCCUUGACAUCCUAGGAAUCCUGCAGAGAUGCGGGAGUGUCGAAAGAAACCUAGAGACAGGUGCUGCAUGGCUGUCGUCAGCUCGUGUUGUGAGAUGUUGGGUUAAGUCCCGUAACGAGCGCAACCCCUAUCUUUAGUUACCAGCACGUAAAGGUGGGGACUCUAAAGAGACUGCCGGUGAAGAACCGGAGGAAGGCGGGGACGACGUCAAGUCAUCAUGGCCUUUAUGGGUAGGGCUACACACGUGCUACAAUGGGGCGUACAGAGGGAAGCCAACCCGCGAGGGGGAGCCAAUCCCAGGAAAGCGUCUCGUAGUCCGGAUUGAAGUCUGCAACUCGACUUCAUGAAGUUGGAAUCGCUAGUAAUCGCGAAUCAGAACGUCGCGGUGAAUACGUUCCCGGGCCUUGUACACACCGCUACAGU
This 443-nucleotide ribosomal RNA is filed under the name uncultured bacterium. Its description in RNAcentral is "bacterial SSU rRNA". It matches the Rfam family "Bacterial small subunit ribosomal RNA", at positions 958 to 1401 of the family's 1533-position model. The record is from RNAcentral.